GCUUGGGUUUGGGUUGAUGGUAGGCCUGUGCUCCAGGACCCUUCAUAGUGCCCAUGCCAGAGCAGCCUGCGGCCCUGCACCAUUGCCUGGCCCUCCCAGUGGACAGCAGGCGCUGAAGCAGGUCACAGAGUA
Molecule: small nucleolar RNA, 132 nt
Organism: Sorex araneus (European shrew)
Lineage: Eukaryota; Metazoa; Chordata; Mammalia; Eulipotyphla; Soricidae
Product: small nucleolar RNA SNORA42/SNORA80 family
Exons: 1
Source: RefSeq, a predicted model, not a curated record